Molecule: long non-coding RNA, 1766 nt
Filed under: Homo sapiens (human)
Lineage: Eukaryota; Metazoa; Chordata; Mammalia; Primates; Hominidae
Description: SOX2 overlapping transcript
Source: RNAcentral
GACAGAGCGGAGAAAGCGACUUCGGUGAAUGAAGGAGGGAAGAAAGGAGAGACAGAGAAAAUAUGGAUUUCCUCAUGGUUGUGAUUCCUCUUCACUCUUUUGAAUUUGGAAGGAUGGCAUACACAUCUGAAAAAUACCACUACUUCCUUCAUUGGACUGCAAGGUAUUUCUGUUUGGAAAAGUAAUGGAGUCCAGUCAACUUCAUUGAUCGCCAAGGACUGUCAAAAUUAUAAAACUUGCUGUGGAGCUCUGACAUGCCAGAAGCCGCUAGAAAAAGAAGUUUGACAUUCAGAAACUUAUCAAGAGGUUCUACUCUUUGGAUAGAGACCAAAAUCAUACUUUGAAACUGGAUUACAUGACAUCAUAAGUGUGUUCUGCAAAGAAACUUCAACUGUAGAUCAAAUAUGCCUAUAAUACAAAGUUCUUCAUUACAGGAAACAACUGAAUACCUUGCUGUCUUUUGAACUAUAUUUUCCCCUGUAGCUUUUGUGUCUAUUAGAAAUCAAGUAAAUAGAUCCAACUUAGAAAUAAUGUUUCAUUCAAGAUAAGGCUCGUGGCUUAGGAGAUUGUGACCUGGCUUGCAUCAUUCUAAGACUUCUAUCGUCUGUUUUCAAAACCCAAGGAGGACCUCCUUUUCUGUGUGAUAGUUCCUCAUGCUUUGCCAGCCACUGGGUCUUUAAGGAAGCUUGCCAAGAGUUCCCGGCUGGGAAGGACAGUUCGAGUUCAUCAUAGACAAUGAGCUGGCACCACAGUUUAAGUGACUCACCAACCUGGUUGCCCACUUCAAAAUGUCAAGAACCACACUAUCUAAUUGAAAGAACUGUGUUUUAGCAAAGUGUAAUUGGAUCGCCUGGCAAGAUCAUCUCAAACUAUGUCUCUGACCUUGCCUUUCAGUGGCUAUUUUGAGCACAAGAGGAGAAAGGAAAUGAUUCCUGAAUUAUAUCUUGUUUUUAAAAAUUAAGAUUAAUUAAUACUUGGUUUUAUGUUCAUUCCAUUGUAGGAACUUAGUGAUUAUUACAAAACAGUCAAAAUAGGUCAUAGCAAAAUGAACGUUUAAGAUUAGGUUAAAACAUUCCUCUGAAAUUUUAGUAUUCACUUUUGAAGUGUCAAUUACUAUAUUUCUGUAAUUUCUCAUUUUUUUCUUGGCUUAGAGUCAAGAUGAAAAAUGAUAUUUGAAUCAAAGACAUUGUUUUGUUAUAUAGCCACUCCUUUCUAAAAUGCAAAUCCACCCUCCCCUCACCAAUGCUUUAUUCUUUGUGCGCGCACACACACACACACACACACACACACACACACACACACACAGACAUACACAGAACCAGCACCCAAAUGGUAGAGGAGGUCCUUCCAAGACUUCUAGGACCUGGAUCAUGUAAGCAGUAGAUGAGAAAAUGAAGUAAGAGAUAUAGAGUAAUAACAAUAAAAGUCAAUGAUUUCAUUUUACAAAAAAGUCAUUGUGUAGUACUCAGAUAUUUUUAAGAGCAAGUAUUAUUAUGACUAAAGUAUAUUAUACUUCUAAAUUAUUAUGAUUCUCAUCUAAUUUCAAGCCACACAUAGGCGCCAUUUGAAAGCAUUUUGUGUUACAACCUAUCAACAAAAAUCAACUAAUAGUUUUAUAACGUGCAUAGGUUUACCCCAUGGGGAAUUAAAAUUUUUAUCUGCAAGUAUUUCUGUUGUUGUGAGACUUUAGGACAAGACAACAUUUGGUGUUAACAUAGAAGAAUAUUCUAUGGCUUUUUUAGCUUUAAAGUUCAUUACUCUAAAAU